RNAcentral lists this transfer RNA (76 nucleotides) under bacterium. RNAcentral describes it as "tRNA-Thr". It matches the Rfam family "tRNA". Rfam says of the family: Transfer RNA (tRNA) molecules are approximately 80 nucleotides in length. RNAcentral also lists the same sequence under 1 other name. The record is from RNAcentral.
GCCCACGUAGCUCAGUAGGCAGAGCGUCGCCUUGGUAAGGCGGAGGUCACCAGUUCAAUCCUGGUCGUGGGCUCCA